Long non-coding RNA from Symphalangus syndactylus (siamang), 289 nucleotides. RefSeq lists it as uncharacterized. The record is from RefSeq and is a predicted model, not a curated record. Lineage: Eukaryota; Metazoa; Chordata; Mammalia; Primates; Hylobatidae.
CUUAGUUUAGGAAAACAAGGGGCAGAGUGUUCUUAGGAAGGUGCCAUCCCCUUUAAGCGGAUCUAUAAGCAUCACAGAUGAACAGAACUUUAAACAUUCCGCCAUGAAUAUUCAUGAAAUUGGGGAGCAGCGGGGAGAAACAAAAAUGAUCAUUUAAAUGCUAUGCUGUUCAAAAUUGAGAAGGCAAAAAACCCUGGGAUGCCCUGAUGGAAAGUGAGCAGCCCUAAUGACAUAGUCAGAAACGGAGGCUCAGUGACAUGCCACAGGCCACAUCAUUUAGCAAGUGGAG